UCGUGAGACAGGUUAGUUUUACCCUACUGAUGAAUGUUAUCGCAAUAGUAAUUGAACUUAGUACGAGAGGAACCGUUCAUUCGGAUAAUUGGUUUUUGCGGCUGUCUGAUCAGGCAUUGCCGCGAAGCUACCAUCCGCUGGAUUAUGGCUGAACGCCUCUAAGUCAGAAUCCAUGCUAGAAAGCGAUGAUUUCUUUCCCUCACACAUUCUAGAUGGAUAAGAAUAAGGCACUUUGUGUCGCUGAACCAUAGCAGGCUGGUACUGGUGCUCUUAGCGGAAAGGCUUUGGGUGCUUACCGGCGGAUAGCAAUGUUAUUAUGCGUGAGGAUAAAUCCUUUGUAUACGACUUAAAUGUACAACGGGGUAUUGUNAGCAG
RNAcentral lists this ribosomal RNA (375 nucleotides) under Hansenula anomala. RNAcentral describes it as "eukaryotic LSU rRNA". It matches the Rfam family "Eukaryotic large subunit ribosomal RNA", at positions 2971 to 3344 of the family's 3401-position model. Lineage: Eukaryota; Fungi; Ascomycota; Saccharomycetes; Phaffomycetales; Wickerhamomycetaceae. The record is from RNAcentral.